CUACGGAGGGUGCGAGCGUUAAUCGGAGUUACUGGGCGUAAAGCGCGCGUAGGCGGUUGGGUAAGUCGGAUGUGAAAGCCCCGAGCUUAACCUGGGAAUUGCAUUCGAUACUGCCCGGCUAGAGUAUGGUAGAGGGAAGCGGAAUUCCGGGUGUAGCGGUGAAAUGCGUAGAUAUCCGGAGGAACACCAGUGGCGAAGGCGGCUUCCUGGACCAAUACUGACGCUGAGGUGCGAAAGCGUGGGGAGCAAACAGGAUUAGAAACCCUAGUAGUCC
RNAcentral lists this ribosomal RNA (274 nucleotides) under uncultured bacterium. RNAcentral's name for it is "partial 16S ribosomal RNA". It matches the Rfam family "Bacterial small subunit ribosomal RNA", at positions 523 to 796 of the family's 1533-position model. The record is from RNAcentral.